GGUCAGGAUGAACGCUGGCGGCGUGCUUAACACAUGCAAGUCGAACGGAGUACUUACGCUGACAAAGCUUCGGCAGAGUCUUGUAAGUACUUAGUGGCGGACGGGUGAGUAACGCGUGGGUAACCUGCCUUAUACCGGGGGAUAACGUCUGGAAACGGACGCUAAUACCGCAUAAGCGCACGAUGAGGCAUCUUGUUGUGUGAAAAACUCCGGUGGUAUAAGAUGGACCCGCGUCUGAUUAGAUAGUUGGUGAGGUAACGGCCCACCAAGUCAACGAUCAGUAGCCGGCCUGAGAGGGUGAACGGCCACAUUGGGACUGAGACACGGCCCAAACUCCUACGGGAGGCAGCAGUGGGGAAUAUUGCACAAUGGGGGAAACCCUGAUGCAGCGACGCCGCGUGAGUGAAGAAGUAUUUCGGUAUGUAAAGCUCUAUCAGCAGGGAAGAAAGACUCGCAAGAGAGAUGACGGUACCUGACUAAGAAGCCCCGGCUAACUACGUGCCAGCAGCCGC
Molecule: ribosomal RNA, 512 nt
Filed under: uncultured bacterium
Lineage: Bacteria
Description: bacterial SSU rRNA
Rfam family: Bacterial small subunit ribosomal RNA
Source: RNAcentral